GGGCCCGCACAAGCGGUGGAGCAUGUGGUUUAAUUCGAUGCAACGCGAAGAACCUUACCAGGUCUUGACAUCCUCGGAAUUUGGCAGAGAUGCCUUAGUGCCUUCGGGAGCCGAGUGACAGGUGCUGCAUGGCCGUCGUCAGCUCGUGUCGUGAGAUGUUGGGUUAAGUCCCGUAACGAGCGCAACCCUUGUCCUUAGUUGCCAGCACGUAAUGGUGGGAACUCUAGGGAGACUGCCGGUGACAAACCGGAGGAAGGUGGGGACGACGUCAGGUCAUCAUGGCCCUUACGACCUGGGCUACACACGUGCUACAAUGGCUGGUACAGAGGGUUGCGAAGUCGCGAGGCGAAGCUAAUCCCUUAAAACGCGUCGUAGUCCGGAUCGGAGUCUGCAACUCGGGUACAUGAAGUUGGAAUCGCUAGUAAUCG
This 428-nucleotide ribosomal RNA is filed under the name uncultured bacterium. Its description in RNAcentral is "bacterial SSU rRNA". It matches the Rfam family "Bacterial small subunit ribosomal RNA", at positions 917 to 1344 of the family's 1533-position model. The record is from RNAcentral.